AGUAGUUUGAUCAUGGCUCAGGACGAACGCUGGCGGCGUGCUUAACACAUGCAAGUCGAACGGUGACCCAGGGCUUGCCCUGGUGAUCAGUGGCGAACGGGUGAGUAACACGUGGGCAACCUGCCCCUGACUUCGGGGAUAACUCCUCGAAAGAGGAGCUAAUACCGGAUACGACCACUUCGGACAUCCGAUGGUGGUGGAAAGUUUUUCGGUCAGGGAUGGGCCCGCGGCCUAUCAGCUAGUUGGUGGGGUAAUGGCCUACCAAGGCGACGACGGGUAGCCGGCCUGAGAGGGCGACCGGCCACACUGGGACUGAGACACGGCCCAGACUCCUACGGGAGGCAGCAGUGGGGAAUAUUGCGCAAUGGGCGAAAGCCUGACGCAGCGACGCCGCGUGAGGGAUGAAGGCCUUCGGGUUGUAAACCUCUUUCAGCAGGGACGAAGCGAAAGUGACGGUACCUGCAGAAGAAGCACCGGCUAACUACGUG
Molecule: ribosomal RNA, 488 nt
Filed under: uncultured bacterium
Lineage: Bacteria
Description: bacterial SSU rRNA
Rfam family: Bacterial small subunit ribosomal RNA
Source: RNAcentral